Molecule: ribosomal RNA, 429 nt
Filed under: Bacteroidota bacterium
Lineage: Bacteria; Pseudomonadati; Bacteroidota
Description: Bacteroidetes bacterium partial 16S ribosomal RNA
Rfam family: Bacterial small subunit ribosomal RNA
Source: RNAcentral
UAGGGAAUCUUCCGCAAUGGACGCAAGUCUGACGGAGCAACGCCGCGUGAGUGAAGAAGGCUUUCGGUUCGUAAAACUCUGUUGUUAGAGAAGAACAGCGCAUAGAGUAACUGUUAUGCGUGUGACGGUAUCUAACCAGAAAGCCACGGCUAACUACGUGCCAGCAGCCGCGGUAAUACGUAGGUGGCAAGCGUUGUCCGGAUUUAUUGGGCGUAAAGCGAGCGCAGGCGGUCAAUUAAGUCUGAUGUGAAAGCCCCCGGCUCAACCGGGGAGGGUCAUUGGAGACUGGGUGGCUUGAGUGCAGAAGAGGAGAGGGGAAUUCCAGGUGUAGCGGUGAAAUGCGUAGAUAUAUGGAGGAACACCAGUGGCGAAGGCGACUCACUGGGCAGUAAAUGACGCUGAGGUUUGAAAGAGUGGGUAGCAAACAGG